CUCUAUAUAAGGAAGGCGAAGAUCUAUUUGCUUCUAUCGAAAGUUAUUUAUGGUAUAGCGGCCAUUCUUAAAGAGUGAAAGCAAGAAAUUAACAAUAGCUGAGGUCAUGUAACUGAGAAGAGGGAAAGGGAGAUUGGAGCUACUGGAAGUUAUGGGAAUGGGCUGUUUGGGAUGAAAGAAAGUGGAAGAAAGUUCUGAUCUUUGCGGAGUUGAUUCUUCCCAAAGCCGCCCAUUCCAAUGACUUCCGGCGGUUCCUCCCUUUCCCUACCAUCUCUACCCAUUUUACCCGUUUUGGGUUUCUGCUAUUCUGCCUCGUUGAGUAAUCUGUACAAGCAACUAAGUUUCGCCACCCGCCGGCAGAAAGAGGGAAACGGAUUGAAAGAGAACAAAGUCAAGUGUUUAGAUUUGAAUAUAAGAUGCUCUUAUCUUUCUUUACAGGAUAAUUAUAACAUGCAGUUUCAUAUGGUGGAUCGUGUUAAUUUUUCGGACUAGGGUUCUUGUAUAAAUCAACCCUGUUUGGAUCUCGGUAAUAACGAGGGGAAAAUAAUCUGGGAAAUUGAUUAUUAUUAUUAUUUUUUGGAUUGAUUUAUUUCAGGGAACUAUAAUUUUGCAAUGA
Long non-coding RNA from Carya illinoinensis, 616 nucleotides. RefSeq lists it as uncharacterized. The transcript has 2 exons. The record is from RefSeq and is a predicted model, not a curated record. NCBI's taxonomy places the organism in Eukaryota, Viridiplantae, Streptophyta, Magnoliopsida, Fagales, Juglandaceae.